CUGCUUUGCGCCAUCUGUGCACCUGUCUGCCUUGCAUUCCCAAACCUACAUAUUGCCCUUUGCACCCAUUACCUCACAUUGUGAGCUUCUAGAGGUGAGUCUUGGGUGGGGUCAGGUCCGUAAAGUAUAGAAUUUUUUCCCGGGCCUGAUCAUGUCCAGUAUUUCAUCCUAACUCAUUUUGAGUCCUUCUCCUACACCUUUACAUGGACCCCGGUCUGAUGGGGACAUAAAUAUCACCACACUGAUACCGAGCUCCAUGGGGGGACUAUCUUGUUCCGUCAUAGAGGGCGUGGGCAUUCCACCCUGAGCUUGUCUCUGACUUCUUUUCCCAUAGGC
Molecule: non-coding RNA, 336 nt
Organism: Pelobates cultripes (western spadefoot toad)
Lineage: Eukaryota; Metazoa; Chordata; Amphibia; Anura; Pelobatidae
Source: the annotation of a GenBank genome assembly